Molecule: ribosomal RNA, 497 nt
Filed under: uncultured bacterium
Lineage: Bacteria
Description: partial 16S ribosomal RNA
Rfam family: Bacterial small subunit ribosomal RNA
Source: RNAcentral
GAUGAACGCUGGCGGCGUGCCUAAUACAUGCAAGUCGAGCGAACAGAUGAGGAGCUUGCUCCUCUGACGUUAGCGGCGGACGGGUGAGUAACACGUGGAUAACCUACCUAUAAGACUGGGAUAACUUCGGGAAACCGGAGCUAAUACCGGAUAAUAUAUUGAACCGCAUGGUUCAAUAGUGAAAGACGGUUUUGCUGUCACUUAUCGAUGGAUCCGCGCCGCAUUAGCUAGUUGGUAAGGUAACGGCUUACCAAGGCAACGAUGCGUAGCCGACCUGAGAGGGGGAUCGGCCACACUGGAACUGAGACACGGUCCAGACUCCUACGGGAGGCAGCAGUAGGGAAUCUUCCGCAAUGGGCGAAAGCCUGACGGAGCAACGCCGCGUGAGUGAUGAAGGUCUUCGGAUCGUAAAACUCUGUUAUUAGGGAAGAACAAAUGUGUAAGUAACUAUGCACGUCUUGACGGUACCUAAUCAGAAAGCCACGGCUAACUACGUG